AUAAUAAUUAGUUUUUUGAUUGAAAACUAGAAUGAAAGAUUGGAUAAGAAAUAAGCUUUUUUUUUUUAAUUUUAUUGAAUUUAAAUUUUUAGUUAAAAAGCUAAAAUAAUUUAAAAAGACGAGAAGACCCUAUAGAUUUUUAUUUAAUUUAAUAAAUUUAUUUAAUUAAAUUAAAUUUUAUUGGGGGGAUAGAAAAAUUUAAAAAACUUUUUAAUAUUUAAACAUUAAUGUAUGAAUUAUGAAAAAAAUUUUAAACUAUAAACUAAAAUUAUUUUAUAAAUAAAGAUUAAAAUACCUUAGGGAUAACAGCGUAAUUUUAAUUUUAAGAUCAUAUUUAAAUUAAAGAUUGC
This 350-nucleotide ribosomal RNA is filed under the name Gracilipsodes similis. RNAcentral describes it as "partial 16S ribosomal RNA". Lineage: Eukaryota; Metazoa; Arthropoda; Insecta; Trichoptera; Leptoceridae. The record is from RNAcentral.